Molecule: ribosomal RNA, 116 nt
Filed under: Fusarium culmorum CS7071
Lineage: Eukaryota; Fungi; Ascomycota; Sordariomycetes; Hypocreales; Nectriaceae
Source: RNAcentral
ACGACCAUACCUACCAGAAAAUACGGGAUCCCGUCCGCUCUCCCUUAGUCAAGCUGGUAAGGGGCGGAUUAGUAGUUGGGUCGGUGACGACCAGCGAAUCCCCUCUGUUGUAUGUU